CCUACGGGUGGCAGCAGUGGGGAAUAUUGCACAAUGGGGGAAACCCUGAUGCAGCGACGCCGCGUGAGUGAAGAAGUAUUUCGGUACGUAAAGCUCUAUCAGCAGGGAAGAAAAUGACGGUACCUGACUAAGAAGCUCCGGCUAACUACGUGCCAGCAGCCGCGGUAAUACGUAGGGGGCAAGCGUUAUCCGGAUUUACUGGGUGUAAAGGGCGUGUAGCCGGGCUGGCAAGUCAGAUGUGAAAUCCCGGGGCUCAACCCCGGAACUGCAUUGGAAACUGUGGGGCUUGAGUGCCGGAGAGGCAAGCGGAAUUCCUAGUGUAGCGGUGAAAUGCGUAGAUAUUAGGAGGAACACCAGUGGCGAAGGCGGCCUGCUGGACGGUAACUGACGGUGAGGCGCGAAAGCGUGGGGAGCAAACAGGAUUAGAUACCCUAGUAGUC
Molecule: ribosomal RNA, 440 nt
Filed under: uncultured bacterium
Lineage: Bacteria
Description: partial 16S ribosomal RNA
Rfam family: Bacterial small subunit ribosomal RNA
Source: RNAcentral